GUGCUCGCUUUGGCAGCACAUAUACUAAAAUUGGAAUGAUACAGAGAAGAUUAGCAUGGCCCCUGCACAAUUUACUUAUUUUUGGGUGAAGCACUGGAAAAGGUU
This 105-nucleotide small nuclear RNA is filed under the name Eurypyga helias (sunbittern). The record is from RNAcentral. Lineage: Eukaryota; Metazoa; Chordata; Aves; Eurypygiformes; Eurypygidae.